Molecule: ribosomal RNA, 465 nt
Filed under: uncultured bacterium
Lineage: Bacteria
Description: bacterial SSU rRNA
Rfam family: Bacterial small subunit ribosomal RNA
Source: RNAcentral
CAGUAGUCACGUAGUUUGACUCCGUGGCUCAGAACGAACGCUGGCGGCAUGCCUAACACAUGCAAGUCGAACGAGACCUUCGGGUCUAGUGGCGCACGGGUGCGUAACGCGUGGGAACCUGCCCCUUGGUUCGGAAUAACAGCGAGAAAUUGCUGCUAAUACCGGAUAAUGACGUAAGUCCAAAGAUUUAUCGCCAAGGGAUGAGCCCGCGUAGGAUUAGCUAGUUGGUGUGGUAAAGGCGCACCAAGGCGACGAUCCUUAGCUGGUCUGAGAGGAUGAUCAGCCACACUGGGACUGAGACACGGCCCAGACUCCUACGGGAGGCAGCAGUGGGGGAAUAUUGGACAAUGGGCGAAAGCCUGAUCCAGCAAUGCCGCGUGAGUGAUGAAGGCCUUAGGGUUGUAAAGCCCUUUACCCGGGAUGAUAAUGACAGUACCGGGAGAAUAAGCUCCGGCUAACUCCGUG